This 247-nucleotide ribosomal RNA is filed under the name uncultured bacterium. Its description in RNAcentral is "partial 16S ribosomal RNA". It matches the Rfam family "Bacterial small subunit ribosomal RNA", at positions 796 to 1041 of the family's 1533-position model. The record is from RNAcentral.
CACGCCGUAAACGAUGGGCACUAGGUGUAGGAGGUAUCGACCCCUUCUGUGCCGCAGCUAACGCAUUAAGUGCCCCGCCUGGGGAGUACGGCCGCAAGGUUGAAACUCAAAGGAAUUGACGGGGGCCCGCACAAGUGGUGGAGCAUGUGGUUUAAUUCGACGCUACGCGAAGAACCUUACCUGGGUUUGACAUCCACUGGAAGGCGCUGGAAACAGUGUCCGCCCUUCGGGGCUGGUGGACAGGUGC